This is a long non-coding RNA of Leptidea sinapis, 704 nucleotides long. RefSeq lists it as uncharacterized. The transcript has 3 exons. The record is from RefSeq and is a predicted model, not a curated record. Lineage: Eukaryota; Metazoa; Arthropoda; Insecta; Lepidoptera; Pieridae.
UUCAGUACAUACAAUAAACAAUUAUUUCUAACUUCAUUCCAGCAUUGAGCAUUGUAUUCGGUCAAAAUUCCUCCACAAUCCGGUCUUCCACUCAAGAAAUCUGUACUUCCACAACACUCGCGGUACCUAUAAAUAUUCUAAAAAUAAUUACGGUUUGUGAUCGGGUUACAUAUAAAAAGUGGCGAUAACUAUUUAUUUCAAUAUUAAAUACACAGGAGCUUCACAGUUAUGGCGUUACGGUAAGACAACCGGAACCGGAAUUGGGAAUCGUUGAUAGUUCUUAUUAACUCUAAAUCAUUUUUAGAUAAUUAUUUCGAGGCAAUUGGUCUGGGAGUCCAACGCGAGUAUAAAUGCAACUUUCUGUCUCCUACUUUAUAUCAAAAUGGACGAUGAUCAUAUCAGAUUGAUGGUGGAUGAAUUAUAAUCUGGUUCUAGCUAUGAAGAGGAAACUGACAGUAACACAAAAGACUAUGUGGAGGAGGAAGUAGCCACCGAGCAAGAGGGUGGCAAAGACUAGAUAUAUUAUGAGAUAAAAGUAGAGAAAGUAGUGAUUUUUACAUAGGGGGUGUGUUGUAGGUGCGUGGAUUUAGAAUGCCAUACUUCAAUAUGCUGCGGUUGGAAUUUUGAAUUUUGACUUGGUAAUGUCCGGUGGUGGAAUUCAGCUGCUGGAAUCAACCCGAACAGCUCCUCUGAGCGUUCCGCGG